UGCCAGCCGCCGCGGUAAUACGAAGGGUGCUAGCGUUGUUCGGAAUUACUGGGCGUAAAGAGCAUGUAGGCGGAUGAAUUAGUCAGAUGUGAAAGCCCCGGGCUCAACCUGGGAAUUGCAUUUGAUACUGGCAGUCUAGAGUAUGGUAGAGGGUAGUGGAAUUCCUGGUGUAGCAGUGAAAUGCGUAGAUAUCAGGAGGAACAUCAGUGGCGAAGGCGACUACCUGGACCAAUACUGACACUGAGGCGCGAAAGCGUGGGUAGCGAACGGGAUUAGAUA
RNAcentral lists this ribosomal RNA (279 nucleotides) under uncultured bacterium. RNAcentral describes it as "partial 16S ribosomal RNA". It matches the Rfam family "Bacterial small subunit ribosomal RNA", at positions 506 to 784 of the family's 1533-position model. The record is from RNAcentral.